UGCUAGGCAACAGAGAGGCGCCCCGUGCGGGGCGGGGCCUAAGGAGCUCUGCCAAGAGGUUCGGGGCUGAUUCUGGAGCACCGAGGUAGCUCCGCCCGUUUCGUUAAGUAUCCCGCCAACGCUCCCCGCCCAGGAGUCGCGGGCUCUCCUAGACUAAGCCUAGCCCGAAACACUGCAGAGAGUUAGUGACUCCCUAAGAUGUACUACCCUUCAAGAUCCUCCAUGGAGGUAGUGAAUUUGGAGUCUGGGAACCUGGAGUCAGGGUUCAAAUUCCAGCUUGAUUACUGCCUGCUACUUUCAUGACCUUUGGAAAAUCAAGAAAUUUUUAUGUCAAUAAACAGAACUGGAGAAAAGAUCUUGUAUGCUACACGAUAUUUACUACUUCUUGAGGAAAAAAAUUCAUCCUACUGAAGGAAAAGGAAGAGUUUUACUUUUAUGAAAUGUCUGGUAACAUUUGGGAAUCCUUUCCUGUUGCUGUCCAACAAAUGCAUUCCAUGAAAUUAGCAUUUUUUGCUCAGCUUUCUUAAAAAAAAAAAAAAAUUAAAUGCCACUGCUUGAUUGUGGGGGAAAAAUAAGGCAGUCUGCCAAUUUCUCAGUCACCUUUGAAUACCUUGGCUAAAGUUGUUAACAGCAAUUUGGCUUUGGAAUGAGCUUACAAGGAAAGAAUGUCUCCUUCAGAGAUAUUUACCCUUUUCAUGAGACUUAUAAAACAUGGCACUUGCAUAGUCAAGGCACAAAAAGGCAGGAGAAAAGGUUGCUUGCUUAUUUUUGUGCUUAAAUUAUACCUAUUUUCCUUUUUUUUUUGGGGGGGGGGUUAUAUACUCCCCCUCCAAAGGAAGAGAAUACAAAGAGGUACUUCAAGAAAACAAUGAAUAGGAAGGAAAAUGCAAUCACUCAGAUCUCAAACUAGAUCUUGCUUUUCUUAGAGACAGAACAUUAUUUGAUAUUAUUUACCAAAUGCAUCAGAAGUCUUACUUUUACCUUAUUUCCAAAUCUUCCAUUUAUUAACAAAAUUAGGCAACUUUCAUUUUUAAUAAUUGUUUGUGAUUCUGUUUUUCCCUGGAAAAAAGGAUAACCUAUCUAAAUAAAAUAUCCCAUGGGCUGAAAGUCCAGUAACAUAAAAUACAAUUUAAAAACAAAAGAAAGUUA
Sarcophilus harrisii (Tasmanian devil) is the source of this 1149-nucleotide long non-coding RNA. RefSeq lists it as uncharacterized. Lineage: Eukaryota; Metazoa; Chordata; Mammalia; Dasyuromorphia; Dasyuridae. The record is from RefSeq and is a predicted model, not a curated record. The transcript has 3 exons.